CCCUUAGAUGUUCUGGGCCGCACGCGCGCUACACUGAUGCAUUCAACGAGUCUAAAACCUGCUCUGAUAGGAGUGGGUAAUCUUUUGAAUGUGCAUCGUGAUUGGGAUAGAUGAUUGCAAUUUUUCAUCUUCAACGAGGAAUGCCUAGUAAACGCAAGUCAUCAGCUUGCAUUGAUUACGUCCCUGCCCUUUGUACACACCGCCCGUCGCUCCUACCGAUUGAAUGAUCCGAUGAAUAUCAUGGAUUGAGGAUGCAAGCAGGUUCGCCUGUCUUCAUCUUCGAGAAGUGAAGUAAAUCUUAUCAUUUAGAGGAAGGAGAAGUCGUAACA
This 329-nucleotide ribosomal RNA is filed under the name uncultured eukaryote. RNAcentral describes it as "partial 18S ribosomal RNA". It matches the Rfam family "Eukaryotic small subunit ribosomal RNA", at positions 1470 to 1796 of the family's 1831-position model. The record is from RNAcentral.